This 497-nucleotide ribosomal RNA is filed under the name uncultured bacterium. RNAcentral describes it as "partial 16S ribosomal RNA". It matches the Rfam family "Bacterial small subunit ribosomal RNA", at positions 28 to 507 of the family's 1533-position model. The record is from RNAcentral.
GAUGACCGCUGGCGGCGUGCCUAAUACAUGCAAGUCGAGCGAACCGACGAGGAGCUUGCUCCUUUGACGUUAGCGGCGGCCGGGUGAGUAACACGUAGGUAACCUACCUAUAAGACUGGGAUAACUUCGGGAAACCGGAGCUAAUACCGGAUAAUAUUUCGAACCGCAUGGUUCGAUAGUGAAAGAUGGCUUUGCUAUCACUUAUAGAUGGACCUGCGCCGUAUUAGCUAGUUGGUAAGGUAACGGCUUACCAAGGCAACGAUACGUAGCCGACCUGAGAGGGUGAUCGGCCACACUGGAACUGAGACACGGUCCAGACUCCUACGGGAGGCAGCAGUAGGGAAUCUUCCGCAAGGGGCGAAAGCCUGACGGAGCAACGCCGCGUGAGUGAUGAAGGUCUUCGGAGCGUAAAACUCUGUGAGUAGGGAAGAACAAACGUGUAAGUAACUGUGCACGUCUUGAAGGUACCUAAUCAGAAAGCCACGGCUAACUACGUG